Molecule: RNase P RNA, 405 nt
Filed under: Paenibacillus selenitireducens
Lineage: Bacteria; Bacillati; Bacillota; Bacilli; Caryophanales; Paenibacillaceae
Description: Bacterial RNase P class A
Rfam family: Bacterial RNase P class A
About the family: Ribonuclease P (RNase P) is a ubiquitous endoribonuclease, found in archaea, bacteria and eukarya as well as chloroplasts and mitochondria. Its best characterised activity is the generation of mature 5'-ends of tRNAs by cleaving the 5'-leader elements of precursor-tRNAs.
Source: Rfam by way of RNAcentral
AAAGUUUGACAGACAAUCGCUGGUGAUGCAAAUCACGAGAGGAAAGUCCGGGCUCCACAGGGCAGGAUGCUGGAUAACGUCCAGUCAACGCGAGUUGAAGGAUAGUGCCACAGAAAUGGACCGCCGAUGGCCGCUUUAUGCGGAUCAGGCAAGGAUGGAACCGUGGUGUAAGAGACCACGAGGAACGCUGGUGACUUCGUUCCUGGUAAACCCCAUCUGGAGCAAGACCUAAUGGGACGCAAGCAGCUUUCGAGGCUGCAGCCUUAGCCCGAGGUGCGUCUGGGUUGGUCGCUGGAACUGUGCAGCAAUGUACAGUCUAGAUAGAUGAUUGUCACUUACAAGUGGGAGGGUAGCCCCCGUAUUACCACGGUAAGUACAGAACCCGGCUUACGGCGAACUUUCCAC